UAGAUUUGAUCCUGGCUCAGGAUGAACGCUGGCGGUAUGCCUAACACAUGCAAGUCGAACGGUCACUUCGGUGAUAGUGGCGGACGGGUGAGUAACACGUGAGAAUCUGCCUUUAGGUCGGGGACAACAGUUGGAAACGACUGCUAAUACCGGAUGAGCUGAGAAGUAAAAGAUUUAUCGCCUAAAGAAGAGCUCGCGGCUGAUUAGCUAGUUGGUGGUGUAAGGGACUACCAAGGCGACGAUCAGUAGCUGGUCUGAGAGGAUGAGCAGCCACACUGGGACUGAGACACGGCCCAGACUCCUACGGGAGGCAGCAGUGGGGAAUUUUCCGCAAUGGGCGAAAGCCUGACGGAGCAAUACCGCGUGAGGGAGGAAGGCUCUUGGGUUGUAAACCUCAAAACUCAGGGAAGAAGAAAGUGACGGUACCUGAUAUAAGCAUCGGCUAACUCCGUGCCAGCAGCCGCGGUAAUACGGAGGAUGCAAGCGUUAUCCGGAAUCAUUGGGCGUAAAGCGUCCGUAGGUGGCAUUUCAAGUCUGCAUUCAAAGACCGAGGCUCAACCUCGGGCAGGGUGUGGAAACUGAAAAGCUAGAGUACAGGAGGGGUAGAGGGAAUUCCUAGUGUAGCGGUGAAAUGCGUAGAGAUUAGGAAGAACACCAGUGGCGAAGGCGCUCUACUGGACAUGUACUGACACUGAGGGACGAAAGCUAGGGUAGCGAAAGGGAUUAGAUACCCCUGUAGUCUUAGCUGUAAACGAUGGAUACUAAGUGUAGCGGGUAUAAACUCCGGCUGUGCUGAAGCAAACGCGUUAAGUAUCCCGCCUGGGGAGUACGCACGCAAGUGUGAAACUCAAAGGAAUUGACGGGGACCCGCACAAGCGGUGGAGUAUGUGGUUUAAUUCGAUGCAACGCGAAGAACCUUACCAAGACUUGACAUCCGAUGAAUCUUGAUGAAAGUUAAGAGUGCCUUAGGGAACAUCGUGACAGGUGGUGCAUGGCUGUCGUCAGCUCGUGUCGUGAGAUGUUGGGUUAAGUCCCGCAACGAGCGCAACCCUCGUCCUUAGUUGCCAGCAUUAAGUUGGGGACUCUAGGGAGACCGCCGGGGAGAACUCGGAGGAAGGUGGGGAUGACGUCAAGUCAGCAUGCCCCUUACGUCUUGGGCUACACACGUACUACAAUGGUUGGGACAAAGGGAUGCGAGACCGCGAGGUGGAGCGAAACCCAUCAAACCCAGCCCCAGUUCAGAUCGUCGGCUGAAACUCGCCGACGUGAAGGAGGAAUCGCUAGUAAUCGCAGGUCAGCAUACUGCGGUGAAUCCGUUCCCGGGUCUUGUACACACCGCCCGUCACACCAUGGAAGUUGGUAACAUCCGAAGUCGUUACUCCAACCGUUUACGGAGGAGGACGCCGAAGGUGGGACUAGUGACUGGGGUGAAGUCGUAACAAGGUAACC
Molecule: ribosomal RNA, 1449 nt
Filed under: uncultured bacterium
Lineage: Bacteria
Description: bacterial SSU rRNA
Rfam family: Bacterial small subunit ribosomal RNA
Source: RNAcentral